This is a non-coding RNA of Gossypium raimondii (Peruvian cotton), 45 nucleotides long. NCBI's taxonomy places the organism in Eukaryota, Viridiplantae, Streptophyta, Magnoliopsida, Malvales, Malvaceae. The record is from Rfam.
UUAGCGGCGCUUUUUAGCGCCACAAAUACUUUUAAGCGCCGCAAG